GGUUUGUCUAAAGGUAGUGAAUUAUUACCUCAACUCAUUGUUCACAGCCAGUUACAAAUCAAAUUUCUUCAAUUCUUUCCCUUCUUUUCACUACUGCAUUUGACUAGCCUUUU
This 113-nucleotide Y RNA is filed under the name Otolemur garnettii (small-eared galago). It matches the Rfam family "Y RNA". From Rfam's summary of the family: Y RNAs are components of the Ro ribonucleoprotein particle (Ro RNP), in association with Ro60 and La proteins. Lineage: Eukaryota; Metazoa; Chordata; Mammalia; Primates; Galagidae. The record is from Rfam by way of RNAcentral.